Molecule: unclassified non-coding RNA, 957 nt
Filed under: Onthophagus taurus
Lineage: Eukaryota; Metazoa; Arthropoda; Insecta; Coleoptera; Scarabaeidae
Description: eF-hand calcium-binding domain-containing protein 2, transcript variant X1
Source: RNAcentral
UUACCUUAAAGACUAGGCUAAUUCAUACUUGAAAUUAAAGUAAAUUAAUUAUGGAAGAUGUUCAAGAACAACCGGUUGUAUUAAACAACGAUUUAGAAAGGAAAAUUUUUGAUGCUUUCGAAGUGUUUGAUCACGCUGGAAAUAAAACCGUUGAUGUACGAGAUGUUGGAACUGUUAUUCGUUCUUUGGGUGCUUGCCCUACAGAAGCUGAACUUCAAGAAAUGAUUGUUUUGUACUUAGAAGAUCCUGUUAAUCCCGGAUCGAUUCACGUUAAUAAAUUUAUCCCUUUUGUAUCCCAAUUUAUCACUGAACACAAGUAUGAACCUGCUACUCCAGAUGCUCUACUUGAGGCUUUUCAUGUUUUGGAUCCAUUAGGAAAAGGCUACAUAACUAAAGAAUACAUUUCAACUUUAAUGACACAAGAUGGUGAACCAUUUAAUCAAGAUGAAUUGGAUGAAAUGUUGGAAAUUGCCAUUGAUCCUCAUACUCAAACAGUACCAUACGAAUAUUAUAUUAAUCAAUUGAUGAUUGAUUAAGUGAAAUGUAGAAUGUUGGGCACAACACAAGUAUAUAUUUUAAGACAUAUUUAAAGUAAUUAUUAAUUAGUGCACAAUUACAAAGUUUAAAAUUAUCUCCUAUUGCAACUCAAGACCCACAUUUCAUGCAUAUCUAAUGUACAAUUUCUUAACCUAACUAAUUACAUCUUGUAAUUCAGCAACAAUGAUACCACACAAAAGUGUGGUUACUUCUUUAUUAUUAUUAAUGUAGAGGACAAUGUAGUAUUGAGGUGAUUUCGAUGCAACCCAACUUACAUCUAACACAACAUUGCAGAAGAAUAAGACAUUUGUGUUAACACUAGCAGUGUGGUGUUAAGAAUAAAGCACCAAUAUUGAAAUAAGUUGUAAUAAAAAGGUCUUUUAUUAAAUUGAGCACUUAAAAAGCUCCAUUGAAAUGUCA